RNAcentral lists this long non-coding RNA (834 nucleotides) under Lonchura striata (white-rumped munia). Its description in RNAcentral is "domestica (Bengalese finch) lncRNA (ENSLSDG00000009070.1)". The record is from RNAcentral. Lineage: Eukaryota; Metazoa; Chordata; Aves; Passeriformes; Estrildidae.
UUCCAAAAUGUUGUGAGACAACAACUGUGUCCUGAGCUGAUUUCAAAACCAUGGAAAAUGAUAUUGUUUCACAUAAACACAGAAGAAAACAUGAUAUCAACAGAAAUUAACCUGAAAAUACUGUCCCUCCUUAUAGAGUUGCCUUAUUUAUAGAUCUGUGUCAUAAGUGCCAAAAUCUUCUUGUUCCUCACCCUCUCUUGUCAAUGGCAGGCAAAGACUGCUGGGGACAAUGAUUUUUACCCUGGUGUCCUGUGACCUUUGGAGGAUGAGUGAUCCAUCUCCCUGUGGGAGAUUUGGUGUUUUGCCACUCGUCAACAAAAUGCUGUCCUCAAUGCACCUGUCAAGAUCCCACUCUGGAACAGAAGAUCAGAGCAAACGGGGGCUGAGGAGAACAAAAGCUGACCCAAACCUUUGACCUAAAUUUAACAUAAAGCCAGAUGAAACCUUAGAGUCCUCCCCAGUGUCAAGGCUGGACCGAUGUGCCAGCAGGGCUGUCCCUGUCCCAGUGUUUGACAGCAGUGAUGGCACCUUCUUCAGACACCCUGACCAGAAUGCCUUCAGAGUAUCUGCUGGGUGCCUUUGUCUUUGGAGGUUUGGAUAGUCCUGUCCAUGAACUGACCACUAUUUAACACCUGAAAGAAAACAAAGACUGUGACAAAAGGUGCUGGCUGAGCUCCAUGGACCAUCCAGUGUGGGGACAGCAGUGGUGGAGCGAAUCCACUGGACAGAGAAACCAGGCACAGAAGAAAUUAUCCUAUUUGCUUAUUUCAGCCCAAGUUAGAAGGGAAAAAUUCUAUGUGUUGGCCUAGUGACAAAUCUAUUUUGACUGUCAAA